AUAUGUGAUAUUUGAUGUUUUAUUCAAUGGCAUGGGUUCCACUUUAACAGUUUCUGUGCUGAAACUCUCACUAUUAUAUAGAGGAAACAUUGAUUUUAAAAUGACUCGAUGUUACCUGGAUAGGACCCUGAGUGUGGUAAACCAAUAGAUUAGCUUUUUUUUUUUUUUUUUAAAGAAAAGGUUCCUGUAAGUGUCUUAUCAGACUAUGAUAACUUUGUAAAUCAUGCUAUCCCUUAGCAUUAA
Pelobates cultripes (western spadefoot toad) is the source of this 243-nucleotide non-coding RNA. NCBI's taxonomy places the organism in Eukaryota, Metazoa, Chordata, Amphibia, Anura, Pelobatidae. The record is from the annotation of a GenBank genome assembly.